This is a long non-coding RNA of Phyllostomus discolor (pale spear-nosed bat), 195 nucleotides long. RefSeq lists it as uncharacterized. The record is from RefSeq and is a predicted model, not a curated record. The transcript has 3 exons. Lineage: Eukaryota; Metazoa; Chordata; Mammalia; Chiroptera; Phyllostomidae.
CUUUCUUGAAAUAAUAAAGCAUAAUAUGCCAAAAAAUGCAUACUUUCUUCCAUUUUUAAUAUCAAAAUGGCUACACAAAAAUUCACCAAUUUUGAUAAGCUUUUUUAAUGCACACUCAUAUGACAAUUGUCACAAUGCAGUCUAACAAAAUUGUUUUCAAUGAAGUUAAAGACAACUAAGCAGUAAGCACUGCUA